UACGAAGAGGGCUAGCGUUGUUCGGAAUGACUGGGCGUAAAGGGCGCGUAGGCGGUUGAUCAAGUUGGGGGUGAAAGCCCGGGGCUUAACCUCGGAAUUGCCUUCAAGACUGGUCAGCUAGAGUGUGGAAGAGGGUUGUGGAAUUCCCAGUGUAGAGGUGAAAUUCGUAGAUAUUGGGAAGAACACCAGUGGCGAAGGCGACAACCUGGUCCAUUACUGACGCUGAGGCGCGACAGCGUGGGGAGCAAACAGGAUUAGAUACCCUGGUAGUCCACGCCGUAAACGAUGAGUGCUGGAUGUUGGGCGGUUGCCGCUCAGUGUCGAAGUUAACGCGAUAAGCACUCCGCCUGGGGAGUACGGCCGCAAGGUUGAA
This 373-nucleotide ribosomal RNA is filed under the name uncultured bacterium. RNAcentral's name for it is "bacterial SSU rRNA". It matches the Rfam family "Bacterial small subunit ribosomal RNA", at positions 524 to 898 of the family's 1533-position model. The record is from RNAcentral.